This 83-nucleotide transfer RNA is filed under the name Canis lupus familiaris (dog). It matches the Rfam family "tRNA". From Rfam's summary of the family: Transfer RNA (tRNA) molecules are approximately 80 nucleotides in length. RNAcentral also lists the same sequence under 1 other name. Lineage: Eukaryota; Metazoa; Chordata; Mammalia; Carnivora; Canidae. The record is from Rfam by way of RNAcentral.
ACCUGGGUAGCUCAGUGGUUGAGCACCUGACUUCAGCUCAGGGCAUGAUCCUGGAGUCCCAGGAUUGAGUCCUGCAUCAGGCU